CCUCCGGGGGGCAGCAGUAGGGAAUUUUCGUCAAUGGGGGAAACCCUGAACGAGCAACGCCGCGUGAAUGAUGACGGCCUUCGGGUUGUAAAGUUCUGUUAUAUGGGAAGAACGAUAUCUAUAGGGAAUGAUAGGUAUGUGACGGUACCAUAUUAGAAAGCCACGGCUAACUACGUGCCAGCAGCCGCGGUAAUACGUAGGUGGCAAGCGUUAUCCGGAUUUAUUGGGCGUAAAGAGUGAGCAGGCGGUUUUCACAGUUCGAAGUCAAAUCCAGU
Molecule: ribosomal RNA, 275 nt
Filed under: uncultured bacterium
Lineage: Bacteria
Description: partial 16S ribosomal RNA
Rfam family: Bacterial small subunit ribosomal RNA
Source: RNAcentral